AGCAAUGCAGGAUCCAAGCUGCAUCUGUAACCUACACCGCAGCUCACAGCAAUGCUGGAUCCCUGACCCAAUAAGCGAGGUCAGGGAUUGAACCCGCAUCCUCAUGGAAUCUAGUUGGGUUUGUUACCACCAAGCCACAAUGGGAACUCCCUUGAUAAGGAUAAUUUAGUAGAAGCAGAUGAAGACUACUAAUUUACACAAGAUUUGCAGUUGCAUUGUUGUUGCAACAAUUAUAAUUGGGUUCCAAUUAUAAUUAUUAUUAUGGUUAGACUAAUGAGAUGCAUUUUUUUAAUAUGAAAAAAUUUAUUCAAGGGUUGUUCUUACCCUUCAUGUGUAAAAGAAUCUGAGUAAUAAAGCAUCACUGUACAUAUGCCAGGGAUUUUGUUGUACCUGAGGGGAAGGUAAUCAGCCCCUUGGAGCCAGGGAUAUUUGUUCAGACAAGGCUACGGCUUAGCAAAGGCUUUCCGUGGGAGAGUGUAUCUCUCUAGGUGGAGAGGCUCUCUCAUCAGAAGGCAGCAAACACUCAUGCUGUGGGGAACCAAAUGCAAAUCGGCAGCCAAGAAAGUGCACACAAGACAAUCUUCCUCUGUUCCAGAGGACAAGGACCAUGUGUGCUUCAUUCUCCACAGUGUUCCCAGUACCUAGCCAAGUGCUUGGUACAUAAGAGGCUCUUACUAAAUAUUUACAUAGUAUGAAUGAUGACAUUAUGUAUCUUACAGCUUUUAUUUGUUAUUUAUUUGCGGUGUAACAGAUUACCCCAAAUAUUGUGGCUUAAAGCAUUUUUUAAUCUUCCAUUUUCUGUGGACCAGGAAAACAGGCAUGUUUUACCUAGGUCCUAUGGUCUAAGUCUCUCACUGGGGUGCACUCUGUCCCAGGGCUCAAGUAGGAAGGAUCCCUCUUCUAGGUCACUCACAUGAUGGUUGGCAGGACUCAGUUCCUCAAGGCUAUUGGAUAGAAGCCUCCCUCCGAUCCUUGCUACAUGGGCCACUCUGUAAAGCAUCUGACAGCAUGGCAGCUUACUCCAACAUAGUGAGGAGGUGAGAGGGGGAAAGAGAGAGAGCUAGUCCUGUAGAGGUCACAGGGUUUUGUAGCCUCAUCCUGGAAGUGACAUUACUGCUCUUUGGCCGCAUUCUGUCCCUUAGAACCAAGUUGAUAGGUCUAGCCCACAUGCAGGGAGAGGAGGUUGCACAGGGAAUGAAUACCAGGGGAUAAGGAUUAUUGAGCCACUUUAGAAAGCUGCCCACCAGACCUUGAAUUUUUUUUAAAUGAUUAUAUUCUCAGAAAAAGAAUAUUAAUUUUCAUGUAUCUUUUAAAAAUGAAAUUCAGUAUGCCAUACUGUUUCCGAAGCAUUGGUUCACUUUUUCCUGAAACAAAAAAACUUAAGGUUAAUACCUAAGCAGUACACCACCUGUAUUGACCAUGUUUUAAAAAUAUUUCCAGAUUGUUACAUUGUAAUAAAUAAUGACCUUCUGAGAAUUCAAAGACCCAAAUACAAAGGAGUGUAUUGCAGCAGGUUUAAUCAAUGUUUAGUGAUGAUGGAAUGUAAAAUCGAAAAGCCAAGGAUAGAAAUCAAAUUGCCUUUCUGCAGAAAAAUCCUCAACAAUUGAAAAACUGCUCUAUAAAAUGAAAGAACAGCUUGAUGAUUUAGAAAAUAGAAACAGCAGAAAUAUUCUGUAGAUCCUAGUUAUGUCCCCACUGCUUAUUAGCUUGUCUUUUAGAGAGCAAAGAGGAAGGGCAACAAAAAGAGAUUCAAAUUAGUGGAUUUUGCUCUGGCCCUGAGCCGCACUGGCUUAGCACUAUUAACUCUAAGUAUAUCCUAGACUAAAAAUAAAUCUUCUGCCCUUUUAUUUUUAAGUAACUUUCCUCCUCCAUAGCCAAACCAGAACACAGACACAUAUUAUUAAUUUAUAUCAGACUUAUUUGAUGGACUCUUUAAUGAAUGGAGUUUGAUGUUCUGGUCUGGUAAAAAUUAUUCCUUAUAUCCACAAUAAUGUUAUUGUCUUAAAAUGUAAAACGUAAUCAAAUUAGUCACCUUAGCAACUUGAAUUGAACCCGCAACCUCAUGGUUCCUAGCCAGAUUCGUUAACCACUGAGCCACGAAGGGAACUCCAGGAACAUUACUUUUAGAUGAGCUCAUUUUAACUUUACUGUUCGGUUUAUAUGUUUUAUUACUUCUCAGCUUAUUAGAAUCUGGGGAGAAUGUAGCAAUAAUUCAUUUUUUCUUUUUCUCUCAUUCACAAACAGUGCUGGAGCAAGGAGCUAUGGUUAGUGCUAGAGUUAGGACACUGUAGAUAUAUAUAGCCUCUGUCCUCAGAGAACUUAUAUUCUGGUGGGGAGACAAUUCUGUGAACAAGAAGUUGCGAAAGGUAUGUUGAGAGUCACCAUGGGAAGUGUUUAAGGUGCUGAAAAAGAAACAAGUGCAGUGUUUCAUUUGUUUGGAAGGAUGACCAGAGUCCUCACAGAUGGAGUUGAAUAGGAAUAUGCUAGUCUCAUGCAUGGGGAAGGGGCUGAGAGGGAGCGAGCAGUGUGUACAGGGUCCCCCAGGCAUGAACAGGGAACAGGCUCCCAUCAGCCCUUGAUGCUGGUGCCUGGGACCCCAAAAGAGAGUCAGAGAUAGAGCAGACCAGUGCACACAGGCCCUCCCAUCGAAGGCUUGUUCUUUCAACAUAUUAACCACCUCCAUUUUUUUGGUUAGAAGACUACAGCAGUGGGCCGACAAUAACAAGAGUAGAGAAGAAUAUAUAAAUGAUGUUAGGAAGGAAAUAAUAUUAGAGAGAAAUAUUAGGAGGAAAAAUAUACAAGAUUUGGUGAAACACUGCGGGUGGAGGUACAGGUUGAGGAAAUACCCAACACCCAUAACCUCUUCCUCUCAUGUUCUCUGUCUCUCUGUGGUCCAUCCUGCUCCGUGACUCCAGACCUGUGAUUCUGUGGAUCUCUCUGUCUGGAACACUCUCCUACCUGGCCUAGGGAUCCUCUGCGAACUAACAUGGCUUGCCCUUUUGAUACCUUAGCAUUUCUCUAUUUAGGAUACCACCUGGAAACUGUUUAAAUAGAUAACUCUUAUAUUUAAGUGCAACCUCUUCCACGGUAGGGGCUCUGUCUUGUUUUUCUUUGUAUAACGUGCACAAUCAGGAUAUAACCUUUGUGUAAGUAAGAGUUAAUGAAUAUAAGAGUUCUUUAAAAGAAAAAAAAAACUGCUAUGUAUGUUUUUUGCCUUCAUAUAGCAGAUCAGGUGCUAAGUGCAGUAAUAAUUCAGAAAACACCCGGAUGUCAGAUAAGCACAAGGACAGGGCAGCCCAGGCAAUGAGUCUUGGUGUUGCACUUGUCUUGGUGUCUCUACUCAGAGGCUUUUCCAGUAGCCAGGGAAGCCAGCAGCCAAGGUAGCAUUAGGCCAUUUGACUGGACUUGGAAUCCACAAUGUAGAGAUGGUUCAAGGACCUGGUGCUGGCAAUGUAAGAUGUAGAUUUGCAAAAAUGUGGAUACAAAUAAAUAAAAUUAAUGCUAGCAGCAAACACAUGCUAAGUAUCAAACAAAUGAUUCAGACCGUUAUGUCCUAGAGGACUCUGGAGAGGAUACAUAAGGCCAAUAGUCCUUGAGUGUAUCGUCAGCAAAUUCAGCAUGCUGCUGAGUCUGAAGCCCUGACUUUGUACACCCAUCAGAAUAUUCACCAAAGAAACAGUUUGCUAGUCCUUUAGUGAAUCUGUUAGCAGAGAAACUUGUAUCAGGAUUUCAUUAAAGGUCAAAGUAGGCAAAAAUAUGAAAUUGAAUGGUACAUUUACUUCUAUGAUAGAGGAGCAUAAGCUAUCAGAAAAAGCAUCUGUGAUGAUUUGACUAGUACCCUCUACCCAGUUUUACCAAAAGUACCACAAUAUUCUCGAUGAUGAUGAUUUUGCGCUUGUUUUGGCUGAAACCUUCUAGUUAGGCAAAUAAUUGGUCAGCACAAAGUCCAUAAUACAAACAAUGGCAUGGAGCAUGUUUUGUUGCAAAGGAAAAGGUUCCUUGGGUAUAUGGAGGAAAACUCAGAUUAUUUAUACUGGACACCUCCCUAAAGACCAAUCCGUUGAACACCAUAUGCAGUUGACCCUUGAACAACAUGGGGUUAAUUCAUGUAUAACUGACAUUCAACCCUCUAUAUCCACAGUUCUUCCACAUCCAUGGAUUCAACCAAUCAUAGAUGGAGUACUGUAGUAUUACAGUAUUACCAUGGACUAUGGACUGUGUGGUACUGUAGUAUUUUCUAUUGGAAGAUGUCUGUAUAUGAGUGGACCUGUGCAGUUCACACCCACAUUGUUCAAGAGUCAGCUGUAUAUGGGAUCAUGAAAAAUAUCCGAUACUGUUUUUCAUCUGACGUGGCAAGACAGAAUAUAGUUGGUGAUACCUCAACUUGAGUUUAAGAAAGGGACUAAAUAGAAUUCUUAUCACAAGGAAAAGAAAACUUUAUCUAUUUAUUUAUUUAUUGUAUCUGUAUGAGAUGUGGGAGGUUAACUAAACUUAUUAUGGUAAUCAUUUCAGAAUAUAUGGAAGUCAAAUCAUUAUGCUGUGCACCUUAAACUUAUUCAGUGCUGUAUGUCACUUAUAUCUCAUUAAAACUGGGGGGAAAGAAUGGAAUAAAGUAAAUGAGAAGUAGUAAAACAUAACAAUUAAGCAUGUUUGAUAUAGUGCCAAGCCACUUAGAUUGGAAUGAUGACUUUUCAAAACUAAUUGUGAAACAUGGAGCAAGGUAAUAAUUCUGUCUAUGCCUCAGUUUCUUCAUCUGUAAAAUGAUAACAAUUAUAGUACAUAGUUCAGGGUUAUUACAUGGAUUAAAUAAUAAAUAUAAAAUAUUUAAAAUAGAUUGUAACACAUAGUUGCAAUAACCCAAUAAAUAUUAGCUAUAACUGUUAUUAGUGAUCUUAUUUCAAGUUGAUAACAAACAUGCCUCCAUCAAUUCAUUCACCAAAUUCAAAAUUAACACUACUAUGUAGCUAGUAUGGGACGUAAGCUCAAGUAACAAAUAUCACUAUUCUUGUAUAGAAAUAAAUUCAUAUUUUUUUGCCAUUCAGCAAUCAUCAUUAAUGUGGUGGAUCAUCUGGUAGCAAUUAUCACUUUGUGGAAAUCUGUCACUGAGGUGAAUAGCAACCCGCGUGCAGAAUGCUCCAGGCUCUGGAAGGUAGAGAUAUUCCCCAGGAUUUCAAAUCACAUCAGUGUGGGGAUGCAUUGAGAUGAGUGGAACUGGACAGGCAGGAUAACAAUCAGGACACAUUGUUCUUUCAGGCUUCUAAGAAAACAAGUCUAAGAAAUUUAGUGG
RNAcentral lists this long non-coding RNA (5287 nucleotides) under Sus scrofa (pig). RNAcentral's name for it is "lncRNA (ENSSSCG00045034256.1)". Lineage: Eukaryota; Metazoa; Chordata; Mammalia; Artiodactyla; Suidae. The record is from RNAcentral.